GACGAACGCUGGCGGCGUGCUUAACACAUGCAAGUCGAACGAAGAGCGACGGAAGCUUGCUUCUAUCAAUCUUAGUGGCGAACGGGUGAGUAACGCGUAAUCAACCUGCCCUUCAGAGGGGGACAACAGUUGGAAACGACUGCUAAUACCGCAUACGAUCUAACCUCGGCAUCGAGGAUAGAUGAAAGGUGGCCUCUACAUGUAAGCUAUCACUGAAGGAGGGGAUUGCGUCUGAUUAGCUAGUUGGAGGGGUAACGACCCACCAAGGCGAUGAUCAGUAGCCGGUCUGAGAGGAUGAACGGCCACAUUGGGACUGAGACACGGCCCAGACUCCUACGGGAGGCAGCAGUGGGGAAUCUUCCGCAAUGGACGAAAGUCUGACGGAGCAACGCCGCGUGAGUGAUGACGGCCUUCGGGUUGUAAAGCUCUGUUAAUCGGAACGAAAGGCCUUCUUGCGAAUAGUGAGAAGGAUUGACGGUACCGGAAUAGAAAGCCACGGCUAACUACGUG
This 510-nucleotide ribosomal RNA is filed under the name uncultured bacterium. RNAcentral's name for it is "partial 16S ribosomal RNA". It matches the Rfam family "Bacterial small subunit ribosomal RNA", at positions 28 to 507 of the family's 1533-position model. The record is from RNAcentral.